This is a small nucleolar RNA of Quercus lobata, 83 nucleotides long. RefSeq annotates it as small nucleolar RNA Z122. The transcript has a single exon. The record is from RefSeq and is a predicted model, not a curated record. Lineage: Eukaryota; Viridiplantae; Streptophyta; Magnoliopsida; Fagales; Fagaceae.
UUUGGGAAAUGAUGCCAAAACUUAAAGAGUGACUGAAGCAUAAGCUCUGCUGAAUAUUAUUUGCACGUCAGUCUGAUCCCAAA